RNAcentral lists this long non-coding RNA (467 nucleotides) under Elaeis guineensis (African oil palm). Its description in RNAcentral is "long non-coding RNA (EGUI_LNC033087)". The record is from RNAcentral. Lineage: Eukaryota; Viridiplantae; Streptophyta; Magnoliopsida; Arecales; Arecaceae.
AUGGGCUAUAAAGAGGCCUCAUGGGGGCUAAUGGCUGAAGUGGUAGUGGAGGCCGAUGCCAAGGUCGAAGGUCGAGGUGAGGUCGAAGUAGGACAUGCAAGUGCAUCCUCUUCUUUCUCCUCCUUUCCCAUCACCUUUUCUCUAUCCAUUUCUUCCUCUUUUUCUUUUGUCUUGUUGUGUUGCCCAUGGCCCGUAGGAGGAUUGGACAAGAGGGGAAGGGGCAUUAAUGCCUCUCGUCAGGUCCAAAUGGCCCAGGGCUAUCCUCAUGGUAUAUGUACAGUGGGUGAUGUACAAUAAAAAAUUAAUAAGGUACAUGUGACAGUGUGGCUGAUGAAGACCUUUUAGUACUGAUGGUGGGCUGAUCAGACUGGUGGCAUGCUGAGCCUCUGAUCUUUUCUUAUUUUUGAGAGUCCAAUGAUCAACCAAGGGAGGAUCGAUUGAUGAAAAAUUUCCUCAGAGACACCUGC